GACGAACGCUAGCGGCGUGCUUAACACAUGCAAGUCGAGCGGUAAGGCCCUUCGGGGUACACGAGCGGCGAACGGGUGAGUAACACGUGGGUGAUCUGCCUUGCACUUCGGGAUAAGCCUGGGAAACCGGGUCUAAUACCGGAUAUGACCACGAGAUGCAUGUCUUGUGGUGGAAAGAUUUAUCGGUGCGAGAUGGGCCCGCGGCCUAUCAGCUUGUUGGUGAGGUAACGGCUCACCAAGGCGACGACGGGUAGCCGACCUGAGAGGGUGACCGGCCACACUGGGACUGAGACACGGCCCAGACUCCUACGGGAGGCAGCAGUGGGGAAUAUUGCACAAUGGGCGAAAGCCUGAUGCAGCGACGCCGCGUGCGGGAUGACGGCCUUCGGGCUGUAAACCGCUUUUGACAGGGACGAAGCGCAAGUGACUGUACCUGUAGAAUAAGGACCGGCCAACUACGUG
This 462-nucleotide ribosomal RNA is filed under the name uncultured bacterium. Its description in RNAcentral is "bacterial SSU rRNA". It matches the Rfam family "Bacterial small subunit ribosomal RNA", at positions 28 to 507 of the family's 1533-position model. The record is from RNAcentral.